This 26-nucleotide non-coding RNA is filed under the name Mus musculus (house mouse). Lineage: Eukaryota; Metazoa; Chordata; Mammalia; Rodentia; Muridae. The record is from RNAcentral.
UGGUGCAAGAGACUGCUGGGAGUGGG